RNAcentral lists this ribosomal RNA (462 nucleotides) under uncultured bacterium. RNAcentral describes it as "partial 16S ribosomal RNA". It matches the Rfam family "Bacterial small subunit ribosomal RNA", at positions 28 to 507 of the family's 1533-position model. The record is from RNAcentral.
GAUGAACGCUGGCAGAAUGCUUAACACAUGCAAGUCUUUGGCGAAGCUGUGCUUGCACAGCCUAGCUAAGGUGGACGGGUGAGUAAUGCGUAAGGAAUUUGCUCUGCAGUCAGGGAUAACAGACGGAAAAGACUGAUAAGACCUGGUAAAGUCAGGCGGACCCAUGUCCAGCCUGAUGAAAAGAGAUGCUGCAGGAGAGCCUUGCGUCCUAUUAGCUUGUUGGUGGGGUAACGGCCCACCAAGGCGAUGGUAGGUAGUCGGCCUGAGAGGGUGGGCGGCCACGGGGGGACUGAGAUACGGCCCUUACUCCUGCGGGAGGCAGCAGUGGAGAAUAUUGGACAAUGGGAGCAACCCUGAUCCAGCAAUGCUGUGUGCACGAUGAAGGUUUUCUGAUUGUAAGGUGCUUUCAGCAGGGAAGAAAAAAUGACGGUACCUGCAGAAGAAGCGACGGCUAAAUACGUG